UGGGGAAUAUUGGACAAUGGGCGCAAGCCUGAUCCAGCCAUGCCGCGUGAGUGAUGAAGGCCCUAGGGUUGUAAAGCUCUUUCACCGGUGAAGAUAAUGACGGUAACCGGAGAAGAAGCCCCGGCUAACUUCGUGCCAGCAGCCGCGGUAAUACGAAGGGGGCUAGCGUUGUUCGGAUCUACUGGGCGUAAAGCGCACGUAGGCGGACUAUUAAGUCAGGGGUGAAAUCCCGGGGCUCAACCCCGGAACUGCCUUUGAUACUGGUAGUCUUGAGUUCGAGGGAGGUGAGUGGAAUUCCGAGUGUAGAGGUGAAAUUCGUAGAUAUUCGGAGGAACACCAGUGGCGAAGGCGGCUCACUGGCUCGAUACUGACGCUGAGGUGCGAAAGCGUGGGGAGCAAACAGG
This 404-nucleotide ribosomal RNA is filed under the name Verrucomicrobiota bacterium. RNAcentral's name for it is "Verrucomicrobia bacterium partial 16S ribosomal RNA". It matches the Rfam family "Bacterial small subunit ribosomal RNA", at positions 355 to 776 of the family's 1533-position model. Lineage: Bacteria; Pseudomonadati; Verrucomicrobiota. The record is from RNAcentral.